AACCUUAAAGCUAGCCUAAUCAAUUAACGCAAACACAACAUUAUUAAUUUUAAACCCUUUUAAAAAAAAUUAAAACAUUUUAUACCUUUUAGUAUGGGUGACAGAACAAAGAUCUCAGCGCAAUAGAUAUGUACCGCAAGGGAAAGCUGAAAAAGAAAUGAAACAAUAAUUAAAGUACAAAAAAGCAGAGACUUAACCUCGUACCUUUUGCAUCAUGAUUUAACUAGACCAAUUAGGCAAAGAGACCUUAAGUUUAUUCCCCCGAAACUAAACGAGCUACUCCGGAGCAGCAUAUAAGAGCGAACCCAUCUCUGUGGCAAAAGAGUGGGAAGACUCCCGAGUAGCGGUGACAAACCUACCGAGUUUAGUGAUAGCUGGUUAUCCAAGAAAAGAACUUUAAUUCUGCAUUAAUUUUUUUAUAAUCAACUUUAUCCUUAAGAUUAAACAUAAAAAUUAAUAGUUAUUUGGAAGAGGUACAGCCCUUCUAAAUUAAGAUACAACUUUCAUAGGUGGAUAAUGAUCAUACUUAUUAAGGACUUUUUCCCCAGUAGGCUUAAAAGCAGCCAUCUGUAAAGCAAGCGUCAUAGCUCCAGCACUACAAAAACCUAUAAUUUAGAUAAUAUCUCCAAAUCCCCUAAAAAAUAUUGGAUUAUUUUAUAAAAUAUAAAAGAACUAAUGUUAAAAUGAGUAAUAAGAGGCCAAACCUCUCCUAACACCAGUGUACAUCAGAAAGAAUUAAAUCACUGAUAAUUAAACGAUUUCAAAUGGAGAUAAUAAUAACCAUUAAUACUUAAACCAGAAAAUCCUAUUCUAAUACUCGUUAACCCUACACAGGAGUGUAAUAAGGAAAGAUUAAAAGAAAGUAAAGGAACUCGGCAAACAUAAACUCCGCCUGUUUACCAAAAACAUCGCCUCUUGCCUAACUAUUAUAAGAGGUCCCGCCUGCCCUGUGACAAUGUUUAACGGCCGCGGUAUUUUGACCGUGCAAAGGUAGCGUAAUCACUUGUCUUUUAAAUGAAGACCUGUAUGAAAGGCACCACGAGAGUUUAACUGUCUCUAUUUUCUAAUCAAUGAAAUUGAUCUUCUCGUGCAGAAGCGAGAAUAUUAUCAUAAGACGAGAAGACCCUAUGGAGCUUUAAACACAUAAGCUAUUUAUACAAAAUAAAAUUCCAUGGGUAUAAACAUUAAUAUACUUCUAGCUAAUUGUUUUUGGUUGGGGCGACCAAGAGGAAAAAUAAAUCCCUCUUAUCGAUUGAGUACUCCGUACUUAAAAAAUAGAAUGACAAUUCUAAUUAAUAAAAAUUUUAUCGAAAAAUGACCCAGGAUUUACCUGAUCAAUGAACCAAGUUACCCUAGGGAUAACAGCGCAAUCCUUUCCCAAAGUCCCUAUCGCCGAAAGGGUUUACGACCUCGAUGUUGGAUCAGGACAUCCUAAUGGUGCAACCGCUAUUAAGGGUUCGUUUGUUCAACGAUUAAUAGUCCUACGUGAUCUGAGUUCAGACCGGAGAAAUCCAGGUCAGUUUCUAUCUAUGAAUUAAUUUUUCCCAGUACGAAAGGACCGGAAAAAUGGAGCCAAUACUUCUAGUACGCUCCCUUUCCAUCUACUGCAUUAAACUAAAGUAGAUAAGGAAAGAUUAUAUAAUUCCCAAGAUUAGGGUU
Molecule: ribosomal RNA, 1659 nt
Filed under: Chlamydoselachus anguineus (frilled shark)
Lineage: Eukaryota; Metazoa; Chordata; Chondrichthyes; Hexanchiformes; Chlamydoselachidae
Description: 16S ribosomal RNA
Rfam family: Bacterial large subunit ribosomal RNA
Source: RNAcentral